UUUUGCAUAAUGAGCCUGCGAGUUGUGGUGUCUGGCAAGGUUAAGCAAACGCGAAGCCGUAGCGAAAGCGAGUCUGAAUAGGGCGCUUAGUCAGAUGCUGCAGACCCGAAACGAAGUGAUCUAUCCAUGAGCAAGUUGAAGCUAGUGUAAGAACUAGUGGAGGACUGAACCCAUAGGCGUUGAAAAGCCCCGGGAUGACUUGUGGAUAGGGGUGAAAGGCCAAUCAAACUUCGUGAUAGCUGGUUCUCUCCGAAAUAUAUUUAGGUAUAGCGUUGUGUCGUAAUAUAAGGGGGUAGAGCACUGAAUGGGCUAGGGCAUACACCAAUGUACCAAACCCUAUCAAACUCCGAAUACCUUAUAUGUAAUCACAGCAGUCAGGCGGCGAGUGAUAAAAUCCGUCGUCAAGAGGGAAACAACCCAGACUACCAGCUAAGGUCCCUAAAUCUUACUUAAGUGGAAAACGAUGUGAAGUUACUUAAACAACCAGGAGGUUGGCUUAGAAGCAGCCAUCCUUUAAAGAAAGCGUAAUAGCUCACUGGUCUAGUGAUUUUGCGCGGAAAAUAUAACGGGGCUAAAGUAAGUACCGAAGCUGUAGACUUAGUUUACUAAGUGGUAGGAGAGCGUUCUAUUUGCGUCGAAGGUAUACCGGUAAGGAGUGCUGGAGCGAAUAGAAGUGAGCAUGCAGGCAUGAGUAGCGAUAAUUAAUGUGAGAAUCAUUAACGCCGUAAACCCAAGGUUUCCUACGCGAUGCUCGUCAUCGUAGGGUUAGUCGGGUCCUAAGUCGAGUCCGAAAGGGGUAGACGAUGGCAAAUUGGUUAAUAUUCCAAUACCAACAUUAGUGUGCGAUGGAAGGACGCUUAGGGCUAAGGGGGCUAGCGGAUGGAAGUGCUAGUCUAAGGUCGUAGGAGGUUAUACAGGCAAAUCCGUAUAACAAUACUCCGAGAACUGAAAGGCUUUUUGAAGUCUUCGGAUGGAUAGAAGAACCCCUGAUGCCGUCGAGCCAAGAAAAGUUUCUAAGUUUAGCUAAUGUUGCCCGUACCGUAAACCGACACAGGUGGGUGGGAUGAGUAUUCUAAGGCGCGUGGAAGAACUCUCUUUAAGGAACUCUGCAAAAUAGCACCGUAUCUUCGGUAUAAGGUGUGGUUAGCUUUGUAUUAGGAUUUACUCCGAAAGCAAGGAAACUUACAACAAAGAGUCCCUCCCGACUGUUUACCAAAAACACAGCACUCUGCUAACUCGUAAGAGGAUGUAUAGGGUGUGACGCCUGCCCGGUGCUCGAAGGUUAAUUGAUGGGGUUAGCAUUAGCGAAGCUCUUGAUCGAAGCCCGAGUAAACGGCGGCCGUAACUAUAACGGUCCUAAGGUAGCGAAAUUCCUUGUCGGUUAAAUACCGACCUGCAUGAAUGGCGUAACGAGAUGGGAGCUGUCUCAAAGAGGGAUCCAGUGAAAUUGUAGUGGAGGUGAAAAUUCCUCCUACCCGCGGCAAGACGGAAAGACCCCGUGGACCUUUACUACAGCUUGACACUGCUACUUGGAUAAGAAUGUGCAGGAUAGGUGGGAGGCUUUGAGUAUAUGACGCCAGUUGUAUAUGAGCCAUUGUUGAGAUACCACUCUUUCUUAUUUGGGUAGCUAACCAGCUUGAGUUAUCCUCAAGUGGGACAAUGUCUGGUGGGUAGUUUGACUGGGGCGGUCGCCUCCCAAAUAAUAACGGAGGCUUACAAAGGUUGGCUCAGAACGGUUGGAAAUCGUUCGUAGAGUAUAAAGGUAUAAGCCAGCUUAACUGCAAGACAUACAAGUCAAGCAGAGACGAAAGUCGGUCUUAGUGAUCCGGUGGUUCUGUGUGGAAGGGCCAUCGCUCAAAGGAUAAAAGGUACCCCGGGGAUAACAGGCUGAUCUCCCCCAAGAGCUCACAUCGACGGGGAGGUUUGGCACCUCGAUGUCGGCUCAUCGCAUCCUGGGGCUGGAGCAGGUCCCAAGGGUAUGGCUGUUCGCCAUUUAAAGCGGUACGCGAGCUGGGUUCAGAACGUCGUGAGACAGUUCGGUCCCUAUCUGCCGUGGGCGUAAGAAGAUUGAAGAGAUUUGACCCUAGUACGAGAGGACCGGGUUGAACAAACCACUGGUGUAGCUGUUGUUCUGCCAAGAGCAUCGCAGCGUAGCUAAGUUUGGAAAGGAUAAACGCUGAAAGCAUCUAAGCGUGAAGCCAACUCUAAGAUGAAUCUUCUCUAAGCUCUCUAGAAGACUACUAGUUUGAUAGGCUGGGUGUGUAAUGGAUGAAAGUCCUUUAGCUGACCAGUACUAAUAGAGCGUUUGGCUUAUCUUU
RNAcentral lists this ribosomal RNA (2318 nucleotides) under Campylobacter jejuni. RNAcentral describes it as "partial 23S ribosomal RNA". It matches the Rfam family "Bacterial large subunit ribosomal RNA", at positions 606 to 2925 of the family's 2925-position model. Lineage: Bacteria; Pseudomonadati; Campylobacterota; Epsilonproteobacteria; Campylobacterales; Campylobacteraceae. The record is from RNAcentral.